Molecule: long non-coding RNA, 960 nt
Filed under: Ovis aries (sheep)
Lineage: Eukaryota; Metazoa; Chordata; Mammalia; Artiodactyla; Bovidae
Description: lncRNA (ENSOARG00000025324.1)
Source: RNAcentral
AUGCAAUUCAGCCAUGUAGAUAUCCCAGGAAACCUAGGCAUCAGCACAAAAUUGACUCCUCAUUUCCUUGAAGGGGUAUUAAGAGGCUGGAACCCUCAUGGCAAUAUCAGUCACAGGAUUUACCUCGUGGUGCAAUGGCUUCUUAAAGAAUUAAUGCUGAUGAUAAAUCACUUAAGUAAGUGUCCUACUUUGUUACACUAUGGACUGAAGUCUGCCUUGCUUCUCUGUCCAUGGGAUUCUCCAGGUAAGAAUACUGGAUUGGGUUGCCAUGCCUUUCUCCAGGGGAUCCUCCCAACCCAGAGAUUAAACCCACGUCUCUUAGGUCUCUUGCCUUGGCAUGUGGGUUCCUUACCACUAGAGACACCUGGAAAGCCACUAAUGGAUUAAGAGUAAUACUGUUAGUCGUUCAGUCAUGUCCGACUCUUUGCAACCCCGCAGACUUUAUAGCCCGCCAGGCUCCUCUGCCUAUGGGAUUCACCAGACAAGAAUACUAGAGUGGGUUAUCAUUUCCUUCUCCAGGGGAUCUUUCCAAUCCAGGAUUGAACCUGGAUCUCUUAUACUGCAGGCAGAUUCUUGAAUAGGUAAAUACAAAUACACUCAGGAGUGGUAUGCUGCUUUCUUGGGAGGAGGUACAAAACUUCUAUUGACCUGCACUGUAAGUGAUGCUCUUUGAAAAAUUUCUCCAGUGCCUAUGUUUUCUAUAAUAUUAUCUUGGGAUUUUACUUAAUUUUUUAAUCAGUAUCCUCUCACAUGUAGGAGAUACUAUUUUAUAUUUGUCUUCCACCUAUCUGUAGUCUUACUAUAUGACUGAUCUUGUUACUUCUACCCCUAACCUAUAACGAUGAGGAAAAGCUUAGCAGUUGUUGAAUAUAGGCCUCAUUUUGGAAAAAAGAAUCCACUUGGAUUAUUUGGGUAGACAAAAUAUUUCAAAAAAAGGAAAAAUGAUAUAAUAAAACUUUU